GUCUAUGGCCAUACCACCCUGAACGUGCCUGAUCUGGGAAGCUAAGUAGGGUUGGCCCUGGUUAGUACUUGGAUGGGAGACUGUCUGGGAAUACCGGGUGCUGUAGGCU
This 109-nucleotide ribosomal RNA is filed under the name Aotus nancymaae (Ma's night monkey). The record is from RNAcentral. Lineage: Eukaryota; Metazoa; Chordata; Mammalia; Primates; Aotidae.